GAAAAAUGAAGUUUAAUUCUAGAAAUCAUAUUUUCAUUUAAAAAAAAUCUAUAAUAGGACCCUAUAUGGGUACUUCCAUGAAGCCAAGGUUUUAUAGGACCCACAAUUCCAAAUAUAUUUUCUGUAAUGAUGCUGCAUUUGAAUAUUGCAUUGUGGGUACUGCUCACUGACUUUGAACCAGGAAUCUCUUCUUUCUUGAAUGUUGCCUGUCUUAAUGUGAACUAUUGGAAAUAGAGCAGCAGCAGAAUGAUAAAUCAGAAACGUUAGCUCUCAAGCUACCGAAAAUCCUAAUAGUGCCACUGUACUACUACAAUUUUUGCUUUUAAAAUUAGAAAAAAAAAAUCUCAAAUCUUAAUCUUUUAAAGGUAAAUUUGAAUUUCUCCCAUAAAAUGAGAAGAUGAACUGACUUGUUUUUAAUUUGAUAAUCAAAUGAAUAACAUUCUAAUUUCUGAUUCUGAUUUCUUUCAGAAUAUGCUUGGAACACAAAAACUGGCCGGGGGCCAUUUUCAGGACCUACCUACAAUCCUACAGCAAAAAAUCUAAAUAUCUUGAAUCGUGCACAGCCAGUCCCUUCAGUGCACGGGAGGACAGACUGGGUGGCCAAGUACGGAGGCCACCGGUAGGACCUCUGGUGAGAACCCUUAGCAUUGCUCCACAGAGUAUGUGCAAGUCUCUGACCUUGGGAAAUGUCUACAGAUGUCUAUUUCUACUGAGAUCUGGAAGAAAUAUGCAAUAGUGGGUACUUCAAAGAGCAAAAAUCAUCUCCUAUUUUCUUUCCUGGAAAUGAAAUGCAUUUUCUUAGCAUCGUUGCCCACAGUGCUGCUGUGUGGGUAGGACUUUACAAAGUAUUGAAUAAACUAUUUGCCAAAGUAUCAAGUAUUUGAUCUACAAAUUAACAGAUAGUAAGUACAAUAAGAAGCUUCUUUUUAAAAAAUGCCUCCAGAAAAUAAGUGUUUCAAGUGUUGAUUUUCCUUUGUUGUAUAUUGGCCUCGCAAUGUGAUAUUUUAUCACUUUGCAGUGAUUCAGCUGAGAGGUUUUUUAUUUUGUUUUUUCCUGGUGGUGAGGCGGACUGCUGUGAGCUGUCAGUUCUGGGUCUUGCUUGGCUACUGCUCUGCUCUCCCACUUUGGCAAUGGCAGGACUGUAAAAUUUUUUUUUUUUUCUACUUUGACACUAUGAGCUCAAUGACAAUUCCAAUCUUGAGCAGUAUGUUUCCUUGGAAAUAAAUUUCCACUUAACAUAGAAGAUGUCUUCUCCACUAGAUUUUAGUGGAGAAAAAGCCCAUUGUUUGAACUUGACCAACACAAGGGCUGUGAGUUGGUGGCGUGUCUGACCCAGUGGCUUAAUGACUUCACAUUGAACACGUCAAGGUUCUCUUGUCAUUGCAUCAAGAAAGUUUUUGAAAUGUGUUUGAUGCUUGUUCAUUUGACUUGCAGAAUACUUUUUUCCAUGUUCCUACCACAGGCAAAGAUGAAGUGGGCCAGCCGGUCCCCAAAGCAGCAUUUGCCACUGCAGGCCACUGACUCGGCUUUGACCUUCGUGUUCGCUCGACAGAGCAGAUGAAUUCAGUUGCCAUAGCAGUGGUUUCACUUAGUACAGCUUUUUUUCUUAGUUUUAUUCUCAAAUUGGUAUAUAAAACAGACAUUUUGAACUUAGGGGGCUAUUCUAUUUAAACCUGCCACCUUAUGGACUGGACAUUAGUACUGUAUAUUCCUUUUCAAAAAUAAUGUUAUCAGCUGCUGACAUUUUUAUGUAUUUUAUGGCUUUGUAACAAAUGUUAAUGUAACUGGUUUAAUAUUGUGGGCAUUAUCCAAAGGCAUUAUAAAAUAAUGAUAUUUUUGUAUAGAAGAUUCAACUGUUCAGGUUUCAUGCUGAAAUCUAAAGGGCAACAUACCUGUCAGUAAUGGUUAUAUGUAAAGUUUUAAUGUCCCAAAGCUAAUAAAAAUUAUUUUGUUUCUGAAAAACUAAAACUCUGAAUAGAUAUUUAA
Molecule: long non-coding RNA, 1986 nt
Filed under: Marmota monax (woodchuck)
Lineage: Eukaryota; Metazoa; Chordata; Mammalia; Rodentia; Sciuridae
Source: RNAcentral